Molecule: small nuclear RNA, 177 nt
Organism: Otolemur garnettii (small-eared galago)
Lineage: Eukaryota; Metazoa; Chordata; Mammalia; Primates; Galagidae
Gene: U2
Rfam family: U2 spliceosomal RNA
About the family: U2 is a small nuclear RNA (snRNA) component of the spliceosome (involved in pre-mRNA splicing).
Source: Ensembl
AUCACUUCUCAGCCUUUGGCUAAAAUCAUGUGUAGUAUCUGUUCUUAUCAGUUAUGUCCUCUCUCCGAGGAAACAUAGUAAAUGGAUUUGGGGAGCAGGGAGUUGGAGUAGGAGCUUGCCCCUUUCACUCCACAUAUCAACCUGGUAUGCAGUACUUCCAGGAACAGGGCACCUAUU